UACAGAGGUCUCAAGCGUUGUUCGGAUUCAUUGGGCGUAAAGGGUGCGUAGGUGGCGAGGUAAGUCAGGUGUGAAAUCUCGGGGCUCAACCCCGAAACUGCACUUGAUACUGCCUUGCUUGAGUACUGGAGAGGAGAUUGGAAUUUACGGUGUAGCAGUGAAAUGCGUAGAUAUCGUAAGGAAGACCAGUGGCGAAGGCGAAUCUCUGGACAGUUACUGACACUGAGGCACGAAGGCCAGGGGAGCAAACGGG
This 253-nucleotide ribosomal RNA is filed under the name uncultured bacterium. RNAcentral describes it as "partial 16S ribosomal RNA". It matches the Rfam family "Bacterial small subunit ribosomal RNA", at positions 524 to 776 of the family's 1533-position model. The record is from RNAcentral.